GCGGAAGCGCCUGGGGCACGUGCUUGGACCUGUCGGGGGUUUUCCUGUCGGCCAGAUGCGAGUUUGCAGAUGUGAGCUGAGAAAUCAGACUCCUGUCCCUUCAUACAGCCAGGGCCCUCCAGGAUUGGGAGGUCAACAAGCACCCAACCAGGCCAUCCUCAUCUGACCCAACCAAGACAUAGGAGGAGAAGCCAGAAGAAUCACUGGCUGUUCCCGCACCGAGCAAGCAAUUGAUGGGCAGAUACGUUAAAUUGCAGCGCUUCGGUGAGCCUCCGAGACCAUGGGUUUGCCACCCACACAUGGCAGUUUCACGGGAUUACUCUCUCUCCCAUCAGUUCCCAAGAUCUCAGAAAGAUGAGCUUUGGAUUCAUGCCCAAGAUUUUACAAAAGGGCAAACUCCUGCGUUUCCUUCCUUGGCCUGGGUUUGUCCUUCCCGGAGCUGUGGGACCGUUGGUGGAUUUCCCCAGUAACGACAUGCCAACCCCGGCCGUGUGGUGGACUUAGGGAAGAUCCAGGAAGGGACAGUGGUAACAACAGUCACACUUGGGUUUCUUCCAGAGGAUCUCAAAGCACCCUGUAAAUGAAGUGGCUAAUAGUGUGUUGUCCAAACUGGAACGCUUUUGAUCGUGAACAGUAUAGUGUUGGUCUUCAUAAUUGCCAUAAGGCGACAGAAUUGUCCCCGGCACAUCAGGAUAUCUGGUCACCCUGCAUGUCCACCCACAGACUGCAUCGGGGCACAUGUCUUAGGAGCUGUUGAGGCAGAGCUGGAGAUAAAGGAAGCCGAGUAGGCCCUGACUCUUCCGCUGCUUUUCCAGAACCUCACUUUGUUUUGGUUGUCACCCUCCCUGUAUGCUGCCGAUCAUCUGGGCUUGGUCUUGGAUCGCUCAUUUGCAGGGGUUCAGACAGGACUUUGGGACUGAGGUGAAUCAGGAGUGUACUGGGUCAUCUACCAUGCAAACAGGCACGGCCCAAUGUUGAAAUCACACAAAAGACCAGUAAACCCCAUCAACACUGGGGACAUCCCACAGGCUGAAAUUCUUGGGGCAGAGAUACGCGUUCUGGCUGACCUCAGUUACGAAACUGUGCCCUGGCUGGCUCCACCCACCUCUGCAGAGAUACAUGGUUGGAGCUCAUCACCGAGAGAUUCUCUGCUGGGGCUUCUAGAAGGAGAUCUGGCACACACAGGGGCCUGGUUGCUUCUCUGAACUCUCAAAAAUGUCUAAAUGUUUCAGUGUCCUCCCCUGCUCUCUGUACACGCUUGCCCACAGUGUCUCCGGAUUGGAACCUAGCCAUGGGGGAUGAAGUAGGGUGGACUGUGGGCAAGCAGGAAGGCACCUCCAACUUCCAAAUUCGUCUGCUGCCUUCUGACAACUUCUCCUCUUUCCUCCCUCAUCUGCGUCCUGAUGUCAUGUCUUCUCGCUCCCUUCUUGCUGCAAACUCCUUCUUUUUCUCAUUGAUCUCAAGUGAGGAGGGCUUGAGUGUGAGACAGAGGCUGAAAGUGAAUGAAAACUUAAUUCUCUUUUCAUGGAAGAGGUACAGGGUCAAGAAAGUUUUCUUAGAGAAACUGAGAUAGGGGGGCCCCUGGGGGGCUCAGUGUGUUAAUGCCUCUGCCUUCAGCUCAGAUCAUGAUCCUGGGGUCCUUGGGAUCAAGCCCCACAUUGGGCUCUCUGCUCAGCAGGGAGCCUGCUUCCCCUUCUCUCUCUGCCCACCUCUCUGCCUACUUGUGAUCUCUGUCUGUCAAAUAAAUAAAUAAAAUCUUAAAAAAAAAUUUUAUAAAAAGUGAGUUAGAAAUAGGGUCUUGAAAGAUGAGAGUUGGUCAGGAAGUAAGGAGAAGGGACAAGCUCCUGGGAGAGCGUUGUUAACCGGGGAACUACAAGUUCAUGAGCAGAGCUGACACCUGUGAUGAAGGACCAAGUCCUGUGAAAGGUGAGGUUGGCAGGCAGGCAGGGACCAAAGGAGCGUGGCAGCCAUUCCAUCCAUUUGAAGGAAGGUGGACUGUCCUGAGGGCAAUGGGAGCCUUAAAGGAUCUUAAAUAGGGAAAUGACAUGGACAGUUCAAAAGUGUUUCAGAAGACGCUGAGUCCCUGUGAAGGCUAGACGAGAAGGAGGUGAGAAAUGAGCCAGGGAGGCCCAUAAGGCGAUGUUCCCAGGAGACCAGGAAAGAGGUGAUGGCAGGCAGUAGCUGUGGGGCUGAAAAGUAGAUGAUGGAUUUCAGAGUUUUUGAGCACACAGAAUCUACCGGCCUUGAUGACCAGUUGGCUUCUGGAGGUGGGGUCCAGAGUGCAGCGGAAAGGGAGGGAGGAGUCACGGAUGUCUCUAGGCUUCUGGGUUGGAGGACUCACUAGGAUAAUUCAUUCAGGAGGAGCUGCGGGGUGAGGGGCAGGGAGGGGUAGUGAAUUCCAUUUCAAACUAGUUGGAUUUGAGUUACCUGAGGAACAUCCGAGCGGAAGUAUCCAGAAGGCAGCUGGACACCAAGGGCAGAAGAGAGACCAGGGUUGGAGAUGGCGAAGGGAGGGUCUUCAGUCUAGAGAGAGCUUGAGAACAAGCGCAGGUUCGGGACCUCAGGGACACCCACAUUUGAUGGUGACUGUCAGCCCACAAAGAGCAUCAUUCUGAAAGGAAUAAUCAGAGAUGUAGGGUGAGACUUUCAAGGAGGAGGGCGCCAUGAUAUGCCCAGGCUGGGCCUCCUUUCUGCAAGGCCAAGGGAGACCAGAGAGGCGAGGAAACACCUGGAGCAGAAAAUGGAGAAAGGUUUCAAGAAAGGCCAGGUAGGCUGAAGUUUUAGUACUCCACCCGCUUCUCCAUACCCCAGAAAAUGUGUGACUGGUUCCCUCGAGUCCUUCUUGGAGGGGUUGAGAAUUCUGUGCAUUGCUAAAGAAAUGAAUUUGGGGACUAGGAAGGCUCAAGGAGUAAAGAAUUCACGGCACAGAUUAAAAUAGUUUUCAACAGUCGUUGCCUUUCAUUCUUCCCAGGGGGACUUCAGAGCCAUUUCCUGGCUAGAGUGGAGCCCAGAGAAAAGCAAGCCUGCUUAGAACACUAUAAUUUAGAGGAUCCAGGACUCGCCUUGCAGUUUGAAUCUCGGAUCUGCCUUCGAUCAUUAAAAUGAAUCUUAAUAACUAAUUAUUGAGCACUAACUGCAUGUCAGACACUUGACACCAUCCUCUCCAUUAAUCGUCACAGGAACUGAAGACAUGAGGACUAUUUUUAGCCCCUCUUCUGCAUGCGAGGUAACCAAGGCUCAGAGCCGCAGCUAUGUUAAGGGGCUGUGACUAUAACCUAGAUCAGUUUUCUUCCCGUGCGACACGAGAGGUCACACUACCCCAUAUGCUCUCUGAAGUUUCCCCCCUAAAGUCCCCCCGAGAGCAGAGAGGGGUGGACAGGUCGCUCUGGAGGAACUGAGGACGGGACGGGUGGCAGCCCCAAGCCCCUCCUACAUCUCUGAAGUCGGAGGUUUUCUCAUAAAAGUUUAUUUACAUUUGCGUUCUCCUUCACCCAGCCCUGUUUUCUUCAUUUUGUUUAUUUACUUUCUUACUUAUUUUAGAGCCCAACACAGGGCUUGAACUCAUGACCCUGACAUCGAGACCUGAGCUGUCAGAUGCUUAACCAACUGGGCCACCCAGGCUUGCCUCCCCAAUCCCCCACCCCCACCCCGGGCGCCAGCGCCGUUUGUUUUAAUUAAAUGAUAAUGCUGAAAAUGAAUGAGAGUUGAGAGAAAGGGGGAGUCCUUGGGAAGUGUGUCGUUCUCACUGUAUAGCUUCAGGAGCCCCUGGUAGCCCAGUGUGGACCCCUGGGACUUUGAGGGGACCCCGUGGAGGGAAUGGAUCAUCUCUCAGGCGCUUUGCAGCUCUGGAUCUCCCUGGAUCUUGUUGGAUCUGGCUCUCCAUUUCUGAGGCUGUGAUAAGGCAAGUCAAAGGUGGAGGGGCGGUUGUGGUGGGGCACCUGAUAUGGUUCAGGGGGCACCUGGCUGGCUCAGUCUAUAGAGCUUAUGACUCUUGAUCUUGGGGUCAUGAGUUCGAGGCCCACAUUGGGCAUAGCAAUUACCUAAAAAGGAGGGAGAAGGUGGUGUGCUAUGGAAUGGGGCCCAGCUCUCCUGAGCUGGGCUCUUGGUCUCUGUAGUCACAUUUCCCAAGGAGGAACCCUGAGAAUCCCUCCCUCAGGGUUUGCAGGAGAAAUGAGACUGAUUGGCCAAAGGCAAAAGAAAAACCAAAAUAUCUGCAAGUGAAUGUCAUGAAGAUACUUGGAGGCAAGAAAAAAGGAAAUCCAUCUGGAAAGAGUCGGAGGGGACACUACAAAGGGCUCUGGAUGAGGAAAUUUGUUCUGAUUUUCAGGCUGACAUUAGCACCGUGAAACACAAAGAAUGUUCCAAAGGGAGCUUGAAAGGGGCGCCUGGGUGGCUCAGUGGGUUGAACGACUGCCUUCGGCUCAGGUCAUGAUGCUGGAGUCCCGAGAUCGAGUUCCGCAUUGGGCUCUCAGCUCCACGGGGAGUCUGCUUCUCUCUCUGACCUUCUCCUCACUCAUGCUCUGUCUCACUUUCUCUCUCAAAUAAAUAAAUAUUUAAAACAAAACAAAAAAACGUGUUUUCAGGGGCUCCUGGGUGGCUCAGUGGGUUAAAGCCUCUGCCUUCAGCUCGGGUCAUGAUUCCAGAGUCCUGGGAUCGAGUCCCACAGGCAGGGAGCCUGCUUCUUCCUCUCUCUCUGCCUGCCUCUCUGCCUAGCUGUGAUCUCUGUCAAAUAAAUAAAUAAAAUCUUAAAAACAAAAUGAAAACGUGUUUUCAGGGGCCCCUGGGUGGCUCAGUGGGCUAAGCGUCUGCCUUCAGCUCAGCUUGUGAUCCCAAGGUCCCGGGACUGAGCUCCAUACCUGGCUCCCUGCUCAGCAGUCUGCUUCUCCCUCUCCAUUUGCCUCUCCCCUGCUCAUGCUCUUUUUUUCCCCCCUCUCUCUCUCAAAUAAAUAAAACUUUAAAAAAGAUAAAAAAAUAAAAUCUGUUUUCACUAUUUCCGGUCUAGGACACCACCUUUGCAGCUCCAGCCUCUCUGUGAUCAUCUGGCCAGAGAGCAAUGUUUUAAGGCAGUGAAGUAGAGUGGAAAUAACCAGACUUUAGGCAAUACCUUUGACCCCUCUGUUCCAUCCGGGCCGAUUGUAUGAAAUUAGCCUUGGAGAAGAAAGGGUUAGCUGACUUUUGGAGAAAUCGAUCUAAAAACAAGCUGAAGACUAGACAGGAAGGUCUCAGAGGGAAGGGAUUGCAGCUUACUCUCCUUUGUAGCUCACGCGGGGCCCUACAGGGAGCAAAUGCUUCAUUAAUAUUUUAUGAAUGCAAUAAAUUCACUUCAUGGUUUACAAGGUAAGAGCCAGGGGCAAGGCUGCCAUCUGCUGGUGAAUUUGUGAAAGACAUGUCUCCGGACGCUGAUAGCCUAAGUGUCCCUUUACUCAGUAACCUUGAGAAGGCUCCCCACAUGGGUGCCUGAGUGGCUCAGUCCAUUAAGUGUCUGCUUUCUGCUCUGGUCGUGAUCCCAGCGUCCUGGGACCAAGUCCUACAUCAGGCUCCCUGCUCAGUGGGGAGUCUGCUUUUCCCUCUUCUUUUGCAGCUCUCUGCCAAUUAAUAAAUAAAAUGUUUUGGGGCGCCUGAGUGGCUCAGUGGGUUAAGCCUCUGCGUUCGACUCAGGACAUGAUCUCAGGGUCCUGGGAUGGAGUCCUGGGUCGGGCUCUCUGCUCAGCAGGGAGCCUGCUUCCCCCUCUCUCUCUGCCUGCUUCUCUGCCUACUUGUGAUCACUCUCUC
This is a long non-coding RNA of Mustela lutreola (European mink), 5772 nucleotides long. RefSeq lists it as uncharacterized. NCBI's taxonomy places the organism in Eukaryota, Metazoa, Chordata, Mammalia, Carnivora, Mustelidae. The transcript has 3 exons. The record is from RefSeq and is a predicted model, not a curated record.